This 200-nucleotide long non-coding RNA is filed under the name Musa acuminata (dwarf banana). RNAcentral's name for it is "long non-coding RNA (MACU_LNC007573)". Lineage: Eukaryota; Viridiplantae; Streptophyta; Magnoliopsida; Zingiberales; Musaceae. The record is from RNAcentral.
GCGGGGUGGUGUUUGGAUUGGAAGAGGGCUGAUGAUCCAUGUUGCCGUGGGAUAGAUAAAUACGUUACAUGGGUUUCGAGAUCUAAUGCAUGCUUACCUGUUACUGCGAGACUUAGCGGUGUGAAUGUGGCGUCUGCGGCUGUGACAGAGAGAGGUCGGAGGCGAUUCGACUGGAGACCGAGGCAUGUGGUGGUGAUGGU